AGAGGCAGACGGGUGAGUAACGCGUGGGAAUCUACCUUUGAGUGGGGAAUAACAAUUAGAAAUGAUUGCUAAUACCGCAUAUACCCUCCGGGGGAAAGGCUUCGGCCGCUCUUAGAUGAGCCCGCGUACGAUUAGUUUGUUGGUGAGGUAAAGGCUCACCAAGACUACGAUCGUUAGCUGGUUUGAGAGGAUGAUCAGCCACACUGGGACUGAGACACGGCCCAGACUCCUACGGGAGGCAGCAGUGGGGAAUAUUGGACAAUGGGCGAAAGCCUGAUCCAGCCAUGCCGCGUGAGUGAAGAAGGCCUUAGGGUUGUAAAACUCUUUCGACAGGGAAGAUAAUGACGGUACCUGUAUAAGAAGCUCCGGCUAACUCCGUGCCAGCAGCCGCGGUAAUACGGAGGGGGCAAGCGUUGCUCGGAAUUACUGGGCGUAAAGCGAGCGUAGGCGGUUAGUCAAGUUGGUGGUGAAAGCCCGGAGCUCAACUCCGGAACUGCCAUCAAAACUGACUUACUUGAGAUUGGUAGAGGAAAAUGGAAUUCCUAGUGUAGAGGUGAAAUUCGUAGAUAUUGGGAAGAACAUCGGUGGCGAAGGCGAUUUUCUGGGCCAUAUCCGACGCUGAGGUUCGAAAGCGUGGGUAGCAAACAGGAUUAGAUACCCUGGUAGUCCACGCCGUAAACGAUGAGUGCUAGACGUUGGAAAUUAAUUUUUCAGUGUCGUAGUUAACGCAUUAAGCACUCCGCCUGGGGAGUAC
This 754-nucleotide ribosomal RNA is filed under the name uncultured marine bacterium. Its description in RNAcentral is "bacterial SSU rRNA". It matches the Rfam family "Bacterial small subunit ribosomal RNA", at positions 94 to 883 of the family's 1533-position model. The record is from RNAcentral.